This 356-nucleotide RNase P RNA is filed under the name Flavobacteriales bacterium. RNAcentral describes it as "RNase P RNA component class A". It matches the Rfam family "Bacterial RNase P class A". From Rfam's summary of the family: Ribonuclease P (RNase P) is a ubiquitous endoribonuclease, found in archaea, bacteria and eukarya as well as chloroplasts and mitochondria. Its best characterised activity is the generation of mature 5'-ends of tRNAs by cleaving the 5'-leader elements of precursor-tRNAs. Cellular RNase Ps are ribonucleoproteins. The record is from RNAcentral. Lineage: Bacteria; Pseudomonadati; Bacteroidota; Flavobacteriia; Flavobacteriales.
GAAAUUGUUCUGUCGCUCUUCGCCUCGGCGGAGGGAGGAAAGUCCGGACAACAUAGAGUGCCAAACCUUGAGAAAUCGAGGGUGUCGUUUGAGGAAUCAGCGGCAUCAGAAAGUGCCACAGAGAACAAUACGCCUAAGUUGAGCAAUCGACCGGUAAGUGUGAAAACGUGAGGUAAGAGCUCACGCGCUGCUCUAAGCAAUUAGAGCUUUGGGUAAACCUUUUGGGUUGUAAGACCAUGUAAACCUAGGUUUGAGGGCUGCUCGCUCGACUAGGAGGGUAGGUCGCAUAGAUAAAUGACAGGAGAUUUGGUGCAGCAAUGUGCCGAGGGACAGAAUCCGGCUUAUAGAUUUCAAGA